This 253-nucleotide ribosomal RNA is filed under the name uncultured bacterium. RNAcentral describes it as "partial 16S ribosomal RNA". It matches the Rfam family "Bacterial small subunit ribosomal RNA", at positions 524 to 776 of the family's 1533-position model. The record is from RNAcentral.
GACGUAGGAUGCGAGCGUUGUCCGGAUUUAUUGGGCGUAAAGAGUUCGUAGGCGGUCUGUUAAGUCUGAUGUUAAAGAUCGGGGCUCAACCCCGGGAGUGCAUUGGAUACUGGCAGACUGGAGUGCGGUAGAGGUUAGUGGAAUUCCCAGUGUAGCGGUGAAAUGCGUAGAUAUUGGGAAGAACACCAGUGGCGUAGGCGACUAACUGGGCCGUAACUGACGCUGAGGAACGAAAGCCAGGGGAGCGAAUGGG